Arvicanthis niloticus (Nile rat) is the source of this 375-nucleotide non-coding RNA. The record is from the annotation of a RefSeq genome assembly. Lineage: Eukaryota; Metazoa; Chordata; Mammalia; Rodentia; Muridae.
CAGACAAGCAGGGACCUCAAGAUGGAGUCACAGACACAAGUCUUCAUAUUCCUGCUACUCUGGUUGUCUGGUGCUGAUGGAGACAUUGUGAUGACCCAGUCUCCCAAAUUCAUGUCCACAUCAGUAGGAGACAGGGUCACCAUGACCUGCAAGGCCAGUCAGAAUGUGGGUACUGCUGUAGCCUGGUACCUUCAGAAACCAGGGAAGUCUCUUGAACUGCUUAUCUAUGGGGCAUCCAACCGGUACACUGGUGUCCCUGAUCGCUUCACAGGCAGUGGAUCAGGGACAGACUUCACUCUCACCAUCAGCAAUGUACAGGCUGAAGACCUGGUAGAUUAUUACUGUCAGCAGGUUACAACUAUUCUCCCACAGUGA